AGAGUUUGAUCAUGGCUCAGAUUGAACGCUGGCGGCAGGCCUAACACAUGCAAGUCGAGCGGUAACAGAGAGUAGCUUGCUACUUUGCUGACGAGCGGCGGACGGGUGAGUAAUGCUUGGGAACUUGCCUUUAGGAGGGGGAUAACCACGGGAAACUGUGGCUAAUACCGCAUAACGUCUACGGACCAAAGCAGGGGAUCUUCGGACCUUGCACCUAAAGAUAGGCCCAAGUGAGAUUAGCUAGUUGGUGGGGUAAAGGCUCACCAAGGCGACGAUCUCUAGCUGUUCUGAGAGGAUGAUCAGCCACACUGGGACUGAGACACGGCCCAGACUCCUACGGGAGGCAGCAGUGGGGAAUAUUGCACAAUGGGGGAAACCCUGAUGCAGCCAUGCCGCGUGUGUGAAGAAGGCCUUCGGGUUGUAAAGCACUUUCAGUGGUGAGGAAGGUUGGUAGCUUAAUACGCUGCCAAAUUGACGUUAGCCACAGAAGAAGCACCGGCUAACUCCGUGCCAGCAGCCGCGGUAAUACGGAGGGUGCGAGCGUUAAUCGGAAUUACUGGGCGUAAAGCGUACGUAGGCGGCCUAUUAAGCAAGAUGUGAAAGCCCCGGGCUCAACCUGGGAAUUGCAUUUUGAACUGGUAGGCUCGAGUUUUGAAGAGGGUGGUAGAAUUUCCAGUGUAGCGGUGAAAUGCGUAGAUAUUGGAAGGAAUACCAGCGGCGAAGGCGGCCACCUGGUCAAAAACUGACGCUGAGGUACGAAAGCGUGGGGAGCAAACA
This 777-nucleotide ribosomal RNA is filed under the name uncultured Alteromonadales bacterium. RNAcentral's name for it is "bacterial SSU rRNA". It matches the Rfam family "Bacterial small subunit ribosomal RNA", at positions 8 to 774 of the family's 1533-position model. Lineage: Bacteria; Pseudomonadati; Pseudomonadota; Gammaproteobacteria; Alteromonadales. The record is from RNAcentral.